Molecule: ribosomal RNA, 472 nt
Filed under: uncultured bacterium
Lineage: Bacteria
Description: bacterial SSU rRNA
Rfam family: Bacterial small subunit ribosomal RNA
Source: RNAcentral
AUUCCUACGGGAGGCAGCAGUGGGGAAUAUUGCACAAUGGGCGCAAGCCUGAUGCAGCCAUGCCGCGUGUGUGAAGAAGGCCUUCGGUUGUAAAGCACUUUCAGUCGUGAGGAAGGUAGUGUAGUUAAUAGCUGCAUUAUUUGUACGUUAGCGACAGAAGAAGCACCGGCUAACUCCGUGCCAGCAGCCGCGGUAAUACGGAGGGUGCGAGCGUUAAUCGGAAUUACUGGGCGUAAAGCGCAUGCAGGUGGUUUGUUAAGUCAGAUGUGAAAGCCCGGGGCUCAACCUCGGAAUUGCAUUUGAAACUGGCAGACUAGAGUACUGUAGAGGGGGUAGAAUUUCAGGUGUAGCGGUGAAAUGCGUAGAGAUCUGAAGGAAUACCGGUGGCGAAGGCGGCCCCCUGGACAGAUACUGACACUCAGAUGCGAAAGCGUGGGGAGCAAACAGGAUUAGAUACCCUGGUAGCACAGAG